UACGAAGGGGACUAGCGUUGUUCGGAAUCACUGGGCGUAAAGCGCACGUAGGCGGAUCUUUAAGUCAGGGGUGAAAUCCCAAGGCUCAACCUUGGAACUGCCUUUGAUACUGGGGAUCUCGAGUCCGGAAGAGGUGAGUGGAACUGCGAGUGUAGAGGUGAAAUUCGUAGAUAUUCGCAAGAACACCAGUGGCGAAGGCGGCUCACUGGUCCGGUACUGACGCUGAGGUGCGAAAGCGUGGGGAGCAAACAGG
Molecule: ribosomal RNA, 253 nt
Filed under: uncultured bacterium
Lineage: Bacteria
Description: partial 16S ribosomal RNA
Rfam family: Bacterial small subunit ribosomal RNA
Source: RNAcentral